AGCGGGGUAGUGGAAUUGGUCAACUCAUCAGGCUCAUGACCUGAAGACUGCAGGUUCGAAUCCUGUCCCCGCCU
This 74-nucleotide transfer RNA is filed under the name Triticum aestivum (bread wheat). It matches the Rfam family "tRNA". From Rfam's summary of the family: Transfer RNA (tRNA) molecules are approximately 80 nucleotides in length. RNAcentral also lists the same sequence under 1 other name. The record is from Rfam by way of RNAcentral. Lineage: Eukaryota; Viridiplantae; Streptophyta; Magnoliopsida; Poales; Poaceae.